AGAGUUUGAUCAUGGCUCAGAAUCAACGCUGGCGGCGUGCCCAACACAUGCAAGUCGAACGCGAAAGUGGAGCAAUCCAUGAGUAGAGUGGCAAACGGGUGAGUAACACGUGGGUGACCUGCCUUCGAGUGGGGGAUAACGUCCCGAAAGGGACGCUAAUACCGCAUAACAUGCUGUCUUUUAAGAGAUGGACAUCAAAGCCGGGGACCGCAAGGCCUGGCGCUUGAAGAGGGGCCCGCGCCUGAUUAGCUAGUUGGUGGGGUAAUGGCUCACCAAGGCAACGAUCAGUAUCCGGCCUGAGAGGGCGGACGGACACACUGGGACUGAGACACGGCCCAGACUCCUACGGGAGGCAGCAGUGGGGAAUUGUUCGCAAUGGGCGCAAGCCUGACGCAGCAACGCCGCGUGAGUGAAGAAGGCCUUUGGGUCGUAAAGCUCUGUCAACUGGGAAGAAGUUACAUUAUAUUAAUAGUAUAUUGUAUUGACGGUACCAGUGGAGGAAGCGCCGGCUAACUCCGUGCCAGCAGCCGCGGUAAUACGGGGGGCGCAAGCGUUAUUCGGAAUUAUUGGGCGUAAAGGGCGCGUAGGCGGUUUUGUCGGUCAGAUGUGAAAGCCCAGGGCUCAACCCUGGACGUGCAUUUGAAACAGCAAGACUUGAGUACGGGAGAGGAAAGCGGAAUUCCUGGUGUAGAGGUGAAAUUCGUAGAUAUCAGNAGGAACACCGAUGGCGAAGGNAGCUUUCUGGACCGAUACUGACGCUGAGGCGCGAAGGCNUGGGUANCGAACAGGAUUAGAUACCCUGGUAGUCCACGCAGUAAACGAUGNUCACU
This 830-nucleotide ribosomal RNA is filed under the name uncultured bacterium. RNAcentral describes it as "bacterial SSU rRNA". It matches the Rfam family "Bacterial small subunit ribosomal RNA", at positions 8 to 817 of the family's 1533-position model. The record is from RNAcentral.